AGGCCAGUAGCUUAAUUGGCAGAGCGUCGGUCUCCAAAACCGAAGGUUGGGGGUUCGAUUCCCUCCUGGCCUG
This 73-nucleotide transfer RNA is filed under the name Sedimentisphaerales bacterium. Its description in RNAcentral is "tRNA-Trp". It matches the Rfam family "tRNA". From Rfam's summary of the family: Transfer RNA (tRNA) molecules are approximately 80 nucleotides in length. Their secondary structure includes four short double-helical elements and three loops (D, anti-codon, and T loops). Further hydrogen bonds mediate the characteristic L-shaped molecular structure. tRNAs have two regions of fundamental functional importance: the anti-codon, which is responsible for specific mRNA codon recognition, and the 3' end, to which the tRNAs corresponding amino acid is attached (by aminoacyl-tRNA synthetases). tRNAs cope with the degeneracy of the genetic code in two manners: having more than one tRNA (with a specific anti-codon) for a particular amino acid; and 'wobble' base-pairing, i.e. permitting non-standard base-pairing at the 3rd anti-codon position. Lineage: Bacteria; Pseudomonadati; Planctomycetota; Phycisphaerae; Sedimentisphaerales. The record is from RNAcentral.